Molecule: transfer RNA, 72 nt
Filed under: Chloroflexota bacterium
Lineage: Bacteria; Bacillati; Chloroflexota
Also listed under: 1 other name
Description: tRNA-Met
Rfam family: tRNA
About the family: Transfer RNA (tRNA) molecules are approximately 80 nucleotides in length. Their secondary structure includes four short double-helical elements and three loops (D, anti-codon, and T loops).
Source: RNAcentral
CGCGGAGUAGAGCAGUGGUAGCUCGUCGGGCUCAUAACCCGGAGGUCGCAGGUUCGAAUCCUGCCUCCGCAA